GAGGAAUAUUGGUCAAUGGACGCAAGUCUGAACCAGCCACGUCGCGUGAAGGAAGACGGCCCUACGGGUUGUAAACUUCUUUUAUACGGGAAUAAAGUGCCCCACGCGUGGGGUUUUGCAUGUACCGUAUGAAUAAGGAUCGGCUAACUCCGUGCCAGCAGCCGCGGUAAUACGUAGGGCGCGAGCGUUGUCCGGAUUUAUUGGGCGUAAAGAGCUCGUAGGCGGUUUGUUGCGUCUGCUGUGAAAACGCGGGGCUUAACUUCGCGCGUGCAGUGGGUACGGGCAGGCUAGAGUGCGGUAGGGGGGAUUGGAAUUCCUGGUGUAGCGGUGGAAUGCGCAGAUAUCAGGAGGAACACCGAUGGCGAAGGCAGGUCUCUGGGCCGUUACUGACGCUGAGGAGCGAAAGCGUGGGGAGCGAACA
RNAcentral lists this ribosomal RNA (421 nucleotides) under uncultured bacterium. Its description in RNAcentral is "bacterial SSU rRNA". It matches the Rfam family "Bacterial small subunit ribosomal RNA", at positions 356 to 774 of the family's 1533-position model. The record is from RNAcentral.